This 399-nucleotide ribosomal RNA is filed under the name uncultured bacterium. RNAcentral describes it as "bacterial SSU rRNA". It matches the Rfam family "Bacterial small subunit ribosomal RNA", at positions 358 to 774 of the family's 1533-position model. The record is from RNAcentral.
GGAAUAUUGCACAAUGGGGGAAACCCUGAUGCAGCGACGCCGCGUGAAGGAAGAAGUAUUUCGGUAUGUAAACUUCUAUCAGCAGGGAAGAAAAUGACGGUACCUGACUAAGAAGCCCCGGCUAACUACGUGCCAGCAGCCGCGGUAAUACGUAGGGGGCAAGCGUUAUCCGGAUUUACUGGGUGUAAAGGGAGCGUAGACGGCAUAGCAAGUCUGAUGUGAAAGAUCGGGGCUCAACCCCGGGCCUGCAUUGGAAACUGUUAAGCUGGAGUACAGGAGAGGUAAGCGGAAUUCCUAGUGUAGCGGUGAAAUGCGUAGAUAUUAGGAGGAACACCAGUGGCGAAGGCGGCUUACUGGACUGUAACUGACGUUGAGGCUCGAAAGCGUGGGGAGCAAACA